UACGUAGGUGUCAAGCGUUGUCCGGAUUUACUGGGCGUAAAGAGCGCGCAGGCGGUCGAUCAAGUCGGGUGUGAAAGCCCCCGGCUCAACUGGGGAGGGUCAUUCGAUACUGAUCGACUCGAAGGCAGGAGAGGGUAGUGGAAUUCCCGGUGUAGUGGUGAAAUGCGUAGAUAUCGGGAGGAACACCAGUGGCGAAGGCGACUACCUGGCCUGUUCUUGACGCUGAGGCGCGAAAGCUAGGGGAGCAAACGGG
This 253-nucleotide ribosomal RNA is filed under the name uncultured bacterium. RNAcentral describes it as "partial 16S ribosomal RNA". It matches the Rfam family "Bacterial small subunit ribosomal RNA", at positions 524 to 776 of the family's 1533-position model. The record is from RNAcentral.